RNAcentral lists this ribosomal RNA (484 nucleotides) under uncultured bacterium. RNAcentral describes it as "partial 16S ribosomal RNA". It matches the Rfam family "Bacterial small subunit ribosomal RNA", at positions 30 to 507 of the family's 1533-position model. The record is from RNAcentral.
AUUGAACGCUGGCGGCAGGCCUAACACAUGCAAGUCGAGCGGAUGAAGGGAGCUGGCUCCUGGAUUCAGCGGCGGACGGGUGAGUAAUGCCUAGGAAUCUGCCUGUUAGUGGGGGAUAACGUCCGGAAACGGGCGCUAAUACCGCAUACGUCCUGAGGGAGAAAGUGGGGGAUCUUCGGACCUCACGCUAUCAGAUGAGCCUAGGUCGGAUUAGCUAGUUGGUGGGGUAAAGGCCUACCAAGGCGACGAUCCGUAACUGGUCUGAGAGGAUGAUCAGUCACACUGGAACUGAGACACGGUCCAGACUCCUACGGGAGGCAGCAGUGGGGAAUAUUGGACAAUGGGCGAAAGCCUGAUCCAGCCAUGCCGCGUGUGUGAAGAAGGUCUUCGGAUUGUAAAGCACUUUAAGUUGGGAGGAAGGGCAGUAAGUUAAUACCUUGCUGUUUUGACGUUACCAACAGAAUAAGCACCGGCUAACUUCGUG